AUUGAACGCUGGCGGCAUGCUUUACACAUGCAAGUCGAACGGUAACAGGUUAAGCUGACGAGUGGCGAACGGGUGAGUAAUGCAUCGGAACGUGCCCGGUCGUGGGGGAUAACGCAGCGAAAGCUGCGCUAAUACCGCAUACGAUCUGAGGAUGAAAGCGGGGGACCGUAAGGCCUCGCGCGAUCGGAGCGGCCGAUGUCAGAUUAGGUAGUUGGUGGGGUAAAGGCUCACCAAGCCAACGAUCUGUAGCUGGUCUGAGAGGACGACCAGCCACACUGGGACGGAGACACGGCCGAGACUCCUACGGGAGGCAGCAGUGGGGAAUUUUGGACAAUGGGCGAAAGCCUGAUCCAGCAAUGCCGCGUGCAGGAAGAAGGCCUUCGGGUUGUAAACUGCUUUUGUACGGAGCGAAAAGGUCUCCUCUAAUACAGGGGGCUCAUGACGGUACCGUAAGAAUAAGCACCGGCUAACUACGUGCCAGCCGCCGCGGUAA
RNAcentral lists this ribosomal RNA (493 nucleotides) under uncultured bacterium. RNAcentral describes it as "partial 16S ribosomal RNA". It matches the Rfam family "Bacterial small subunit ribosomal RNA", at positions 29 to 523 of the family's 1533-position model. The record is from RNAcentral.